Long non-coding RNA from Vidua chalybeata, 2621 nucleotides. RefSeq lists it as uncharacterized. The transcript has 7 exons. The record is from RefSeq and is a predicted model, not a curated record. NCBI's taxonomy places the organism in Eukaryota, Metazoa, Chordata, Aves, Passeriformes, Viduidae.
CUGCAGCCAGACUUCUCCUCCUGACUAAGCAUUAACCAGAAGUACCAUGGAACUGCCAGAGAUUUUUCUUGAGCUACUUUAGUGGUCUCAGCGGCCCAAAGAAGAAAACUGCCAAUGUGCAAGAUUUCAUUAACUUGCAAGGCAGCAAGACAGAGUCCCCCAGGCCAAACUGCAAAUCUGCAAAUCAUGGUGUAAGGUAGAGGUGAAUAAUAAAGCAGUGGAAAAGGACAACAGAGGGAACAGUACUGAUGAUUCCCAUCACUCCUUGUUGAGGCUGCUCCGAGAGUCCACUGAAAUACCCAGGAACACAGCCUUGGUUUUGGGUGAGUGGGAACACUCUUGACCCAGCUUCUCCAGGCCUCCCUCUGUGCAGGAGAUUUGCUGGCAUUGUCACAGCCACAGACUGCAGGAAGAAAGCUACAUAAAGAAGAAAAACUCACUCUAUUGCACUCUGAAUACUUCUAAGAAGAGCAACUGCUACCUAGCCAUGUCUGCACUUCUGCUCUACUGUCUCAAAAAGAAGAGAGAGCUCCUUCUGCCACAUUUUUUCUCUAUUUCACAAUGGGCUUCACCAGCAGAACUGGGGAGGAUCAUCAUGGGACCAAGACUGCAAAGCAGUUAAGCACUUUGCCUGGUGAGAAGAGCAGAAGGAAAUCCGUUCACAUGGCAUCAACCCUGAGCAACCUGGGGAUCAGAGGACCUUCAGAGGAGGUGAAAGAGAGCAAGAGGAUGUUUCCAUUUUGGCUGAGGUGGUUUUUGGAUGUACGGGAACACAGCUAUGGCCAGCUUUCUCUGGCCCAGCAACAGCAUGAAUUGUAAAUUGAGUUUUCUGGGACAGCACACUUCUGCUCAGCUCUGUGUCAGGAACAGAUAAAAAUCUGUCUCUUGGCUCCAAACACGUGACAGCCCUCAAGGAGACUGGCAAGCAACAAGCUCUGGGGCUGUGCUAGGGAUCACGUACACCAGAAAGGAGAUGUGUUUCAUGCUGGAUUUCCAGUUUACCAGACAAAUAAUGAAAAUGAAGUGUUUGCCUUGGAGCCACCCCAUGCCUGGAGAGCAGUGACCCUGCAAACCAUCAGUGUGCAAGGCUGAUCUCUCACACAGCACCGUGCCUCAGUGUUACUGUGGCACCCUCCUGGGACUCCUCUUGCUCUCCUCUUGCUCAUCCACUUACUCAGAGCACAGAAUUAAGAAAAAGGAAUCAAGUUUCUGUUUGCUUUCCCAUUAGAGAUGGUUUCUGAACAGUUUCCAAAGUCUGGAAUAUCUGAUGUUUCAAGGACAUCACAACAACCUAUUUCACUUUCUACAACCCUCACUAUGUUUUUCCUGUUUCUAACAGUCACCCCCAUUCUCUAAAGCUUUGGGAAUUUUCUGUAUAGGAACAGAAGGUACACUAGGAGUGAAGUUCUUAAGGAGAAAAACCCAAAGAGCUGAUAUUUCCUUCUCUUCCUUAUUUCCCUUCUCUCAGCUAUUUGACUUUCCCCUCAGUAAAUAUUGAUGAAACUGAAUGUUGGAGAGGUAGGGUUCUCACUGUUAGUCAUACCAAAAGAUAUCAAUACAUUAAAUUUUCAAAAUCUUACCCUAUGUCCAUUCUCCAAGUGUGGCAACUUUCCCAUUACUGACUUAGAUAUUUUGAUAUUAAAAAAUUUUCUAUCUUAUAAUUUCUAUAUGUUAUUUUCUCAUACAAUUUAUUAAAAAAAGCAAGAUACAGUAAAAAGUAUUUUUUUAAGUCACCAAAAAAAUAAUCCAGAACUAUGCUUUUGCCCUAGGAAAGCUAUAAAUGGGUGUUAGCAGUUUGUAGCAGGAAAAUUUCAUGAAGUUUUACAAAAAUAAUAGAAUUAUAGAGAUAUGGGUAAAUUAGGUACAUGAGAAAGGAUUAAAACAGCUUUCUCUGAGGGAAAUUAAGUCUCACAGAGGAGUCAAUGAGUACAGCUAUAACUGUGACCCAAGUGAAAUAGCGUAGUUCAGUUAACAAAACUUUUUGAUGAGACAUCUCCAAGGACUUCUACAGUAACUAGGCUGUCAUGGAAUGAAUGUGGAUGUUCUCUCCUGAAUUAACUGUCAAAAGAUAAGAGACCAAAUGAAGGAAUAAAUGGACUGCUUUCUCAUGGAGAGGCCAUCGGGGGAACAGUGCUACAUCUGUGCUUGUCAACCAUUUCUAAAUGGUCUGAAAAAGAAGCUGAAUUCAACGCUAAUGAGUGAGAGUUUAUGGAAAAAGCAAGCCAGCAGCAGCAUGAUGGAGAGACUGGUUCAAAAAGGGAUUGAACGGGCUCAGAGAAAGAACAGUCUAACUACAGCUAUCAAACCCAACCAGACAAAUGCAUCUUCCAAAACAUCUCCAAGUCUCCAUCAGAAGCCGAAACAGUUUAAGAGAGGAAAGGUAUCCCUGUGGAUAUCCUUUCUGCUCCUGUCCUAUGUUUCUGCUACCAAACUCAUCUGCAGGAUGCUGACUGGAGUGACUCUGGUGAGGUGCUGGACCUUCUACAGUUCUCAUCAUCUCAUUCCUACUCUACACAAUUCUCCCUUCAGGGAACUGGAAAAAAAAAUCAAUGGACUAAAAACAAUUAAGUCAAAAAGAGUGAAAAACAUACAGUGUUUUUUGUUUUUCUUUUUUUUUUGUU